AGCGGCGGACGGGUGAGUAAUGCCUGGGAAUAUGCCCUGAUGUGGGGGAUAACUAUUGGAAACGAUAGCUAAUACCGCAUAAUCUCUUCGGAGCAAAGAGGGGGACCUUCGGGCCUCUCGCGUCAGGAUUAGCCCAGGUGGGAUUAGCUUGUUGGUGAGGUAAUGGCUCACCAAGGCAACGAUCCCUAGCUGGUCUGAGAGGAUGAUCAGCCACACUGGAACUGAGACACGGUCCAGACUCCUACGGGAGGCAGCAGUGGGGAAUAUUGCACAAUGGGGGAAACCCUGAUGCAGCCAUGCCGCGUGUGUGAAGAAGGCCUUCGGGUUGUAAAGCACUUUCAGUAGGGAGGAAGGUAGUGUAGUUAACACCUGCACUAUUUGACGUUACCUACAGAAGAAGCACCGGCUAACUCCGUGCCAGCAGCCGCGGUAAUACGGAGGGUGCGAGCGUUAAUCGGAAUUACUGGGCGUAAAGCGCAUGCAGGCGGCCUGUUAAGUCAGAUGUGAGAGCCCGGGGCUUAACCUCGGAAUUGCAUUUGAAACUGGCAGG
Molecule: ribosomal RNA, 550 nt
Filed under: uncultured bacterium
Lineage: Bacteria
Description: bacterial SSU rRNA
Rfam family: Bacterial small subunit ribosomal RNA
Source: RNAcentral